RNAcentral lists this ribosomal RNA (302 nucleotides) under uncultured soil bacterium. RNAcentral's name for it is "bacterial SSU rRNA". It matches the Rfam family "Bacterial small subunit ribosomal RNA", at positions 26 to 330 of the family's 1533-position model. The record is from RNAcentral.
AGAUUGAACGCUGGCGGCAUGCUUUACACAUGCAAGUCGAACGGUAACAGGCCGCAAGGUGCUGACGAGUGGCGAACGGGUGAGUAAUGCAUCGGAACGUGCCCAGUCGUGGGGGAUAACGCAGCGAAAGCUGUGCUAAUACCGCAUACGAUCUAUGGAUGAAAGCGGGGGACCGAAAGGCCUCGCGCGAUUGGAGCGGCCGAUGUCAGAUUAGCUAGGUUGGUGGGGUAAACGGCCCACCAAGGCGACGAUCUGUAGCUGGUCUGAGAGGACGACCAGCCACACUGGAACUGAGACACGGU